This 2042-nucleotide ribosomal RNA is filed under the name Escherichia coli. RNAcentral's name for it is "partial 23S ribosomal RNA". It matches the Rfam family "Bacterial large subunit ribosomal RNA", at positions 919 to 2925 of the family's 2925-position model. The record is from RNAcentral. Lineage: Bacteria; Pseudomonadati; Pseudomonadota; Gammaproteobacteria; Enterobacterales; Enterobacteriaceae.
CAAGGGGGUCAUCCCGACUUACCAACCCGAUGCAAACUGCGAAUACCGGAGAAUGUUAUCACGGGAGACACACGGCGGGUGCUAACGUCCGUCGUGAAGAGGGAAACAACCCAGACCGCCAGCUAAGGUCCCAAAGUCAUGGUUAAGUGGGAAACGAUGUGGGAAGGCCCAGACAGCCAGGAUGUUGGCUUAGAAGCAGCCAUCAUUUAAAGAAAGCGUAAUAGCUCACUGGUCGAGUCGGCCUGCGCGGAAGAUGUAACGGGGCUAAACCAUGCACCGAAGCUGCGGCAGCGACACUAUGUGUUGUUGGGUAGGGGAGCGUUCUGUAAGCCUGUGAAGGUGGCCUGUGAGGGUUGCUGGAGGUAUCAGAAGUGCGAAUGCUGACAUAAGUAACGAUAAAGCGGGUGAAAAGCCCGCUCGCCGGAAGACCAAGGGUUCCUGUCCAACGUUAAUCGGGGCAGGGUGAGUCGACCCCUAAGGCGAGGCCGAAAGGCGUAGUCGAUGGGAAACAGGUUAAUAUUCCUGUACUUGGUGUUACUGCGAAGGGGGGACGGAGAAGGCUAUGUUGGCCGGGCGACGGUUGUCCCGGUUUAAGCGUGUAGGCUGGUUUUCCAGGCAAAUCCGGAAAAUCAAGGCUGAGGCGUGAUGACGAGGCACUACGGUGCUGAAGCGACAAAUGCCCUGCUUCCAGGAAAAGCCUCUAAGCAUCAGGUAACAUCAAAUCGUACCCCAAACCGACACAGGUGGUCAGGUAGAGAAUACCAAGGCGCUUGAGAGAACUCGGGUGAAGGAACUAGGCAAAAUGGUGCCGUAACUUCGGGAGAAGGCACGCUGAUAUGUAGGUGAAGCGACUUGCUCGUGGAGCUGAAAUCAGUCGAAGAUACCAGCUGGCUGCAACUGUUUAUUAAAAACACAGCACUGUGCAAACACGAAAGUGGACGUAUACGGUGUGACGCCUGCCCGGUGCCGGAAGGUUAAUUGAUGGGGUUAGCGGUAACGCGAAGCUCUUGAUCGAAGCCCCGGUAAACGGCGGCCGUAACUAUAACGGUCCUAAGGUAGCGAAAUUCCUUGUCGGGUAAGUUCCGACCUGCACGAAUGGCGUAAUGAUGGCCAGGCUGUCUCCACCCGAGACUCAGUGAAAUUGAACUCGCUGUGAAGAUGCAGUGUACCCGCGGCAAGACGGAAAGACCCCGUGAACCUUUACUAUAGCUUGACACUGAACAUUGAGCCUUGAUGUGUAGGAUAGGUGGGAGGCUUUGAAGUGUGGACGCCAGUCUGCAUGGAGCCGACCUUGAAAUACCACCCUUUAAUGUUUGAUGUUCUAACGUGGGCCCCUUACCGGGGUUGCGGACAGUGUCUGGUGGGUAGUUUGACUGGGGCGGUCUCCUCCUAAAGAGUAACGGAGGAGCACGAAGGUUGGCUAAUCCUGGUCGGACAUCAGGAGGUUAGUGCAAUGGCAUAAGCCAGCUUGACUGCGAGCGUGACGGCGCGAGCAGGUGCGAAAGCAGGUCAUAGUGAUCCGGUGGUUCUGAAUGGAAGGGCCAUCGCUCAACGGAUAAAAGGUACUCCGGGGAUAACAGGCUGAUACCGCCCAAGAGUUCAUAUCGACGGCGGUGUUUGGCACCUCGAUGUCGGCUCAUCACAUCCUGGGGCUGAAGUAGGUCCCAAGGGUAUGGCUGUUCGCCAUUUAAAGUGGUACGCGAGCUGGGUUUAGAACGUCGUGAGACAGUUCGGUCCCUAUCUGCCGUGGGCGCUGGAGAACUGAGGGGGGCUGCUCCUAGUACGAGAGGACCGGAGUGGACGCAUCACUGGUGUUCGGGUUGUCAUGCCAAUGGCACUGCCCGGUAGCUAAAUGCGGAAGAGAUAAGUGCUGAAAGCAUCUAAGCACGAAACUUGCCCCGAGAUGAGUUCUCCCUGACUCCUUGAGAGUCCUGAAGGAACGUUGAAGACGACGACGUUGAUAGGCCGGGUGUGUAAGCGCAGCGAUGCGUUGAGCUAACCGGUACUAAUGAACCGUGAGGCUUAACCUUACAACGCCGAAG